GGGGCUGUAUUGGCUUCGACGGAAAAAAGAAAACAUGAGCAGCGGGUAGUGGCGUGAGACCACUAUAAAACUCACAAAAACAAUAAACGCUAACAAUAAUAAAGUAGCUCUCGCGGCCUAAUAUAGGCUGCGUGUCCUGCCUGGUUUGCCGCAGGCCGGGGCCAGGGCAUCAUUUAUGCGGCGUACGUGAACAGUCUCAAGCUUUGCGGGCUGUCAUGAAUUUAUGAAGCUACCGAGGCGGCUGCCUGUCAACCGGCAUGCCGAAGGGGGAAUCUCGUAGACUGACUGCACCCGGAGAUACUGAUGCGGCCUUUUUUUCGGACACGGGUUCAACUCCCGUCAGCUCCACCA
This 351-nucleotide transfer-messenger RNA is filed under the name Oscillospiraceae bacterium. It matches the Rfam family "transfer-messenger RNA". From Rfam's summary of the family: Bacterial tmRNA, also known as 10Sa RNA or SsrA, is named for its dual tRNA and mRNA-like properties. Its role is to liberate the mRNA from a stalled ribosome. Lineage: Bacteria; Bacillati; Bacillota; Clostridia; Eubacteriales; Oscillospiraceae. The record is from RNAcentral.